UGAGCCUACGGGGGGCAGCAGUGAGGAAUAUUGGUCAAUGGGCGGGAGCCUGAACCAGCCAAGCCGCGUGAAGGAAGAAGGCGCCAAGCGUCGUAAACUUCUUUUGUCGGGGAACAAAGGGCGCCACGUGUGGCGUUGUGAGUGUACCCGAAGAAAAAGCAUCGGCUAACUCCGUGCCAGCAGCCGCGGUAAUACGUAGGGGGCAAGCGUUAUCCGGAUUUACUGGGUGUAAAGGGAGCGUAGACGGCAGUGCAAGUCUGAAGUGAAAGCCCCGGGCUUAACCCGGGAAUUGCUUUGGAAACUGU
Molecule: ribosomal RNA, 305 nt
Filed under: uncultured bacterium
Lineage: Bacteria
Description: bacterial SSU rRNA
Rfam family: Bacterial small subunit ribosomal RNA
Source: RNAcentral